Molecule: ribosomal RNA, 570 nt
Filed under: uncultured diatom
Lineage: Eukaryota; Bacillariophyta
Description: SSU rRNA
Rfam family: Eukaryotic small subunit ribosomal RNA
Source: RNAcentral
CCAAUCCUGACACAGGGAGGUAGUGACAAUAAAUAACAAUGCCGUGCCCUUUUGGGUAUGGCUUUUGGAAUGAGAGAAACACAGAAUCCACAUCGAGGAUCAAUUGGAGGGCAAGUCUGGUGCCAGCAGCCGCGGUAAUUCCAGCUCCAAUAGCGUAUAUUAAAGUUGCUGCAGUUAAAAAGCUCGUAGUUGCAUUUCCGAGGCAAGGGAUUAGUCCGACCUUUGGUGGGUAUUUAAUCCUCUUGCCUCGUCCUUGAGUGGUGCUUCUUGGUAUUAAGUUAUCGAGGAGAUAGCCGCUCAUCGUUUACUGUGAGAAAAUUAGAGUGUUCAAAGCAGGCUUAUGCCGUUGAAUAUAUUAGCAUGGAAUAAUAAGAUAGGACCUCGGUACUAUUUUGUUGGUUUGAGAACCAAGGUAAUGAUGAAUAGGGACAGUUGGGGGUAUUCGUAUUCAGUUGUCAGAGGUGAAAUUCUUGGAUUUUUGUAAGACAAACUACUGCGAAAGCAUUUACCAAGGAUGUUUUCAUUAAUCAAGAACGAAAGUUAAGGGAUCGAAGAUGAUUAGAUACCAUC